Long non-coding RNA from Corticium candelabrum, 350 nucleotides. RefSeq lists it as uncharacterized. The transcript has 3 exons. NCBI's taxonomy places the organism in Eukaryota, Metazoa, Porifera, Homoscleromorpha, Homosclerophorida, Plakinidae. The record is from RefSeq and is a predicted model, not a curated record.
GUUGAGCUGUCAUUAGACGCUUCGUGCCAAGAAUGGAUGGUUUGCUAAAACUGGCGAAAGGCAACAAAGACCGGUUGCAAUACACGGCUGAAAUCCGAUUAGCUGCCUAUAGUAUUGGCAAGACCUUCUCUAGAGGAGACGUACAAAAUGGCUUCUAUGAGCUAAACGUCGAUUCAAAAAGCCUGUGGUCAAAGUCUACUGUAGAGUUGGUAUUAUGCAAGACAUUCGGCAGCGCCUAAAACGCCAUGAAUGUAACACAGCGUAAGUGUUUAUCGUUUUGCACUGGUGUACGCACUUUAGGGAUAAAUUUUGUCCCGUGUGCAUCUAGAGGAUCGCGACGGCCUCGUCAU